Molecule: ribosomal RNA, 301 nt
Filed under: uncultured bacterium
Lineage: Bacteria
Description: partial 16S ribosomal RNA
Rfam family: Bacterial small subunit ribosomal RNA
Source: RNAcentral
CAGUCGCCGCGGUAAUACGUAGGUCCCGAGCGUUGUCCGGAUUUAUUGGGCGUAAAGCGAGCGCAGGCGGUUAGAAAAGUCUGAAGUGAAAGGCAGUGGCUCAACCAUUGUAGGCUUUGGAAACUGUUUAACUUGAGUGCAGAAGGGGAGAGUGGAAUUCCAUGCGUAGCGGUGAAAUGCGUAGAUAUAUGGAGGAACACCGGUGGCGAAAGCGGCUCUCUGGUCUGUAACUGACGCUGAGGCUCGAAAGCGUGGGGAGCGAACAGGAUUAGAUACCCGCGUAGUCCCUGUCUCUUAUACA